This 385-nucleotide ribosomal RNA is filed under the name uncultured bacterium. RNAcentral describes it as "bacterial SSU rRNA". It matches the Rfam family "Bacterial small subunit ribosomal RNA", at positions 29 to 416 of the family's 1533-position model. The record is from RNAcentral.
AUUGAACGCUGGCGGCAUGCUUUACACAUGCAAGUCGAGCGGCAGCGCGGGGCAACCUGGCGGCGAGCGGCGAACGGGUGAGUAACAUAUCGGAACGUACCCAGUCGUGGGGGAUAACUAUCCGAAAGGAUAGCUAAUACCGCAUACGACCUGAGGGUGAAAGCGGGGGACCGAAAGGCCUCGCGCGAUUGGAGCGGCCGAUAUCGGAUUAGCUAGUUGGUGAGGUAAAGGCUCACCAAGGCGACGAUCCGUAGCUGGUCUGAGAGGACGACCAGCCACACUGGAACUGAGACACGGUCCAGACUCCUACGGGAGGCAGCAGUGGGGAAUUUUGGACAAUGGGGGGCAACCCUGAUCCAGCCAUUCCGCGUGAGUGAAGAAGGCC